CAGUAACCCGUCUCCGUCUCCCAUAAGUGAAGUUCUCAUGUAUUCCUUAUCAUAAAUUAUGCUAAACCGAACAUUUUAAGUAGCACAAUGUUGGAUCGCAACAAAAUUGUUACUGUUUAACUGUAGAGCAGAUCCCUGAAGCCGGCGAAGGGGGUGGAGUCACUGGUUGGGUCACAAAAACAACUCACAUUCUCCCGCAGACUUUCAUGGCAAGUAAGUUUGGUUUUAGGCUUCCGGUGAACCACAGUGACAGUCAUUAUCCACAAAUAGAGAAAACAUGGGACAGUGGUGAAACUUCCCUGGAGUGGACGAACUACUAAAAUCACUCCAAGAGCUUAUUGGCAACUUAGUCAAGAGAUCACACCAGACUUCACCUGUGUCAGUAAAGGGCAUGCAGUACUUGACUGGCAGUAAAUCUGUUUGGAGACUAAUCCUCCGCUACCUACCAGCUGCUCUCCUGGCACUCGCCGGGGGGAGGAGGGGGGGGAGACCAGCAUUCUUGUUGCCAUGGAGACGGUCAGCCAUGCCAGUUACCCAUAAGGCCUGGCGUCGUGCCCGCCAGCUUGUGUAAGCAUGGGCCCCUUCACUGAACACUUGUUGCAACAUCGAGGGAGGAGGAAGCUGCUGUGGUUUGGUUGCUGCAGAAACCAGUCUGGCAACAAUGACACACUCCACUUCGCAUGAUGUGUUGUAAUUACGGCUAGCGAUGUAACACAAACAAGUUUUUAACUCAUUAAAAUAGUGAAAUAUGCAGUAUUAAUGUAGCUGUUUGUUAAGUUGCUUUGACAUUUUAUGUGUUUUUCAAAUUUUUUCAAUAUGUUCCAUUUCUUUUCCUUUAACAUGUUUAAAGGAUAAUGAUAAUUUAUUUCACCUUGGAAGGUUUUCUGCUUUAUCUCCCAUGUUGUUAUAAUGAACCAAUUAAACAUGAAAUAAAUACCAAUAGUUGUUUAGAUGCACAAAAAGCUUUGCAUGGUCUCCAAAGGUUGCUGCUGGCUAAUCGUUUAACUAAUGCUCUUCUGCACGGUAUAAUGCAAAAUUAUUUAUAUUCAUAUUUAUAUACCAGAAUGCUCUUUUUCUAAUGCUUUGUGUGAUCCAUCUAUAACAAUAAAACGAGUUGUAGCAAAA
This is a long non-coding RNA of Poecilia latipinna (sailfin molly), 1125 nucleotides long. RefSeq lists it as uncharacterized. The transcript is spliced from 5 exons. The record is from RefSeq and is a predicted model, not a curated record. NCBI's taxonomy places the organism in Eukaryota, Metazoa, Chordata, Actinopteri, Cyprinodontiformes, Poeciliidae.